Pyrus x bretschneideri (Chinese white pear) is the source of this 638-nucleotide long non-coding RNA. RefSeq lists it as uncharacterized. The record is from RefSeq and is a predicted model, not a curated record. Lineage: Eukaryota; Viridiplantae; Streptophyta; Magnoliopsida; Rosales; Rosaceae. The transcript has 3 exons.
CAUCCAAAUCCUAAAUCCUUGCUGCUCUCUCUUCCCGUAGACUUCCUCCUCAUCCUUCUUCUUCAUCCUCUCCCAUAGCCGUCGACUGCACCCAGCCAGCACGCAGCAGCACGGAGCCACUACCGUCGCACUGCAGAUUGACCCAAGUGGAGGUUCAAGUGGGGAAGUUGUAUUGUGUGAGUAAGUGGGGAAGUUGUAUUGUGUGAGUAAGGCUGCUGUUUUACCUAUUAACAUUGAGGAUGCUGCUCGGAGUGAUAUCGAAAUCGAAAAGGCUUUGCAGUGAAGGUGGAGCUGCUGUUUUUAGACUCAACUACAAGGGUCAAGAUGCCUGCCUUGCCCAGUCACCUCAGCUUCACAAGCAAAUGGCUAUACGUGGUGACUUCGGUCGUAUUUUUGAGAUUGGUCCUGUUUUUAGAGCUGAGGACUCCUUUACCCAUAGGCAUUUGUGUGAGUUCACUGGCCUUGAUGUUGAGAUGGAGAUCAAGAGGCACUACUUUGAGGUAGAAUUAGUAAUUUUUUAGGCAUUUGUUUACCUUUACCGCCGUAUAUGACGAUGUAUGUUAACUUAUGGUGCAAUUAUAUGCUUGUUUGUUCUGGUCAUGCAUGAUCAUUAAACUUAUAUAUUUUUCAACAUUGCA